CUGCAUUUCUAGAGAACAAGUGUAUGAACUAAAUAUUACAAAAAAGCAUUUUUCUUAAAAAAUAACUUCCCAACACUAAUGUGAACUUACCAACACUAGUUAAAUAAUUUCCAAGUAAAUAGGCAUAUGUGAAUUACACAAGAUCUAAGUCUGCCUUCAUAAACAUUGCAAUUUGAGAACCAUAUUUUUCUGAAACAUCCAUUUAGAAAACAUCUGGUACAAGGUCAUGAGCAAUUAUUCAAGUAUAGCUUCUGCAAGGAUCCAUCUCCAUCACUCCAUGAUGAAUAUACAUCCCCAAUUUAUUAUGUCACCGACAAAACCAAUUCACAUGAAUGCAUUAAGUAUGCUCCUAUUAUACACUGAGCCUAAGAAAUGCCAAUUCCUUGCACUAAUCCACCCCCGUCUCAAACCACAACACCCCCCCACCCCAAAAAAAAACAACUCUUCUCUCUGUCCAAAGAAAAGUGAAAAGGAGAAAGGAAAGGGGUGGGAAGAGGAGGGAAGUAGGAGGGGAAAGAAUUGUGUUUGUGUAUAUAUAUAUAUAGAGAGA
Molecule: unclassified non-coding RNA, 550 nt
Filed under: Hevea brasiliensis (rubber tree)
Lineage: Eukaryota; Viridiplantae; Streptophyta; Magnoliopsida; Malpighiales; Euphorbiaceae
Source: RNAcentral